This is an RNA transcript of Monodelphis domestica (gray short-tailed opossum), 14217 nucleotides long. It is a transcript of the gene named ADP-ribose/CDP-alcohol diphosphatase, manganese dependent, with no coding region annotated. The record is from RefSeq and is a predicted model, not a curated record. NCBI's taxonomy places the organism in Eukaryota, Metazoa, Chordata, Mammalia, Didelphimorphia, Didelphidae.
UUUAAGUUCCGGCUGAAAGAAAAGGUAUUGAAGUACUCUCCUCCUCGGUAAGAACUCGAUGGUUCCGCCGGAAAUACAGCUCGUCUUCCGGGUUGUUUUUUGGGCGGAUGAGCGAGUUGUCGAUGUGAAGCGGGAAAUCAAUUUGAAAGUUAUGGAUAUAAACCUCAGUCCAGGAGCCAUAGAGGGAAUCUCAGAAUCCAGUCCAGGAGUCAUCGAUGGGAUUUCAGAACCCAGUCCAGAAGUCAUAAAUGAGAGCUUAGAAUCCAGUUCAGGAGCUAUAGAGGGGAUCUCAGAACCAUACUUCAGUUUUGGAGUUAUAGCAGAUAUUCAAUAUGCUGAUUUAGAAGAUGGCUAUAAUUACCUAAGAACCAGAAGGAGAUAUUACCGAUACAGUCUUCAUCAUCUUCAAGGGGCUAUUGAAGAGUGGAAUGAAGAAAGCAGUCAUCCCUCUUUUGUGUUGCAACUUGGUGAUCUCAUUGAUGGAUUUAAUGCACAAUAUAAAAUGUCAGAAGAGUCACUUAAAAAUGUCAUAAAAGAAUUUAAAAAACUCAGACCCCCUAUUCAUCAUACAUGGGGAAACCAUGAAUUAUACAACUUCAGCAGAGACUAUUUAAGAAACUCUAAACUUAACACAAAGUUUUUAGGAGACCAGAUUGCACAUUGUCCUGAGACUAUACCUUCAGAAAACUAUUAUGCUUACCACUUUGUACCUUUCCCUAAAUUUCGGUUUGUUUUACUUGAUGCUUAUGAUCUAAGUGUCCUUGGAAUGGACGAGUCUUCUCCAAAAUAUCAGGAAAGUAUGAAGAUGCUGAAGGAGAAGAAUCCAAAUGAGGAACUGAAUAGCCCUCAAGGACUUUCCGAACCUCAGUUUGUCCAGUUUAAUGGAGGAUACAGUCAAGAACAAUUGGACUGGUUCAAUGCAGUUCUUACUUUCUCUGACACAAACCAAGAAAAGGUAGUAGUUGUGGUAGUGGGCAGAGACCUGCUGAGGAGGAAAAAGAAACUGGGCAGAAAUAAGCUGUUUGAAUGGGUCACAUUCCUAUUCACCCAGACUCCUCUGACAGUGUGUGCCUUGCCUGGAAUUACAGAGAUGCUCUCUCAAUUAUUUGGUCUCAUAAAUGUGUGGUGUGUUUCCUUGCUGGUCACACUCAUGAUGGAGGACAUUCUAUAAGGAGAAAAUCAAAAGUAUGGAUUUUUGACAGCUGCCUUAUUUAACAAUGAUAGUCUGAUGCCAGGUAUUCAAGGCAAACUUUUAAUUGGGUGCUGCACUCAGACAAUCCAUUUGUGGAAGAAGCAUCAGUGAAAAAUUGACUGCCAGUAUGGAGAAUAAAUGGUAAGAAGUCACUGCAAUGGCUAGGCUAAGGAAAUGAAUGAUCCAAAUUAUCUGUGAUAGUAACCUUAGAAGGAUCAACAAACAACCCAGAGCAACCAACUACUCAUCUCACUUGUUAAAGAUACUAGAAUACCCCCAAAUCUCACUUAGUGUGUGAUAUUUUCAGUAAUGAACAAUAAAAUUUAGCCUCAUUAAAUAAAUGUUUAAUUUUGCCUGAGGGAAACAUUUGAUGAUCACUGCCAAAGAUAUGGAAAAUUACUGAAGGAAAUUUCUAUGCUCAAUAAUAAUGUACAAAACCAUUAAAAUUAUGGAUAUAGAACACAAUCUUUAGUAUUCACUAAAGAUAUAAAUGUCCUUUCUGGAAGGAGGACCUGUAGGAGAAAUUGAAAGAAGAAAAUGUACUGGAGAAUUGAAAAUUUUGAAGGUUUUGGAUUUCUGAAGAUCAGAGAAUAAAUCUGAGGAGGUGAAAUUUAUGAGUACUUGAGAAAUUAAAAGAAGAGAAUAAAAACAAUUUAGGUAGAACUCAUGGACUCAUUUUACUCUCAAAGAGAAAAAUGAUUAUAAGACAAAGUAACCAUGAAUCUAGAUUGCCUCAUUUCCUUUCAGGAGUUAAGCAAGGAUGAUUCUCAUUUUUAUAGUAAAGGUAAUAAAAUUGCUUUAGCUUAGUUCAAAAACAAGUUUCAUACCUGUGGUCAGAAGAUUGCUUUAGCUUAAUUCAAAAGUCAAUUUCAUACCUGUGGUCAGAGGAUUAAGUCCAACAAGUAGAGUAAGGAUAGCAGGUAUCAUGUAUAUAACCUGUUAGCAAAACAGAAUAUUCCCAAGUAUCACACAAUUAUAGAAUUAUUUAGCAUAGGGAAUGGACCUAGAGUACAAAUCUUUCAAAGGAUACAGGAAGGAAGGAAGAUAGAAUCACUUGCUGUCAUUGUCCUUAAUUAAGUUUGAGUAACUUCUGGACAUCAUGGGAUUAUGGAUAGAGUUUGAAUGGACCUUAGAAGUUAUCAUACUAAACCCUUCUUUUUAUAAUUGAGAAAACCUGAAGCUCAGAUAGGUUCAGUCUUCUAGCCCAGGAUCACACAGAUAAGUAUGGCAGAACCUGGAUUUGGAGCUAGGACCAUUGAUGACUGAAUCCAGUGCUCUUUCCAUUAUACUAUACUGCUUCAAAUGCCCAUGAAGAUCCAGUUUUCCAGUUUGAAACUAUUAGCAUGCUAUGAAAAGGAGCACUACAAACACAGUUAUGCCUUAUGAGGCCAUAUAUCCGGCCCCCACCAUACUUCUGGAAGGGGCACCUCUUUCAUUGGUGGUCAGUGAGAGGAACACUGUAUGUGGUGGCUCCACAAAGCGCAGCCACAGCGUCACUCACAGUACUACUUCCAGUGACAUAAUCCUUUGCAUGGAGCCUUAGAAUGAGGCACUACACAAAGGAUUAUGUGGCUGCAAGAUGGAAGAUGUCAGCAUGGUGAGUGGCGAUCUAGGGGAGGGGAUACUGCUUCCCGGGUAGGGUUAGAGUUAGGGUUUGGGUUAGGUUUUUAUAGUCCAGCCCUCUUAACGGUCUGAGGGGCAGUGAACUGGCCCUCUGUAUAAAAAGUUUGGGGACCCCUGCCUUAUGUUCUCAAUAGAUUUGGGCUUCCAAAACAUGCCUGAACCAUAACUUGCUUAUUUUAGGAAAUUUUUAAUGACAAAAUAUUGACAUAGUAAUGUAAAAUGUAAGCUAAACAAGGGACCUACUAGAAAACUCAACUGUUAAUAACUUACUUUAAUAAAUCUUGACUUUCUUUUCUACUUUAAGAUGAACCUUUCUCAUAGUAUUUUAGAGGUAAAAGGAGCCUAGAGCUCAUACCUAGGUGUUAUUUACACUUAAGCUUACUACUUACUUCAGACCAAUCUGGAUGCUUAUUUAAAAGAAAAUAUGAAGUAUCUUACCAGCUUUUAAUUUAACUCUUUCUCUGUCAAUCUAAUCUCAUGGGAAACCUGAAACAUUUUCCGAUUCAGCACCUACUUAGUACUAUCAAUCACAGUAUAAGUAAUAUAAAUUGGGGGUUUUGACUCAGAGAGUUACAAAGUAUUAUUUUAAAUUUUCUCUGAUUUAAAAACAUCAUGGUUUAAGUCAAAAUGACUUUUAGUAGCUUUUAUUUACAAAGAGGUGAAAAGAGUGAAAGUGGAAAAUGUAGAUAAAGAGACAGAAUCUAUUGAGAUCUGUGUAAACCUUAAAAUCUCUCAGACUUGUGAAUUUUAGAAUUUUCCCCAUCGGGGAAUUCUUAAUUGGAACAAAUUCCCUACUGAGAAACAUUCCCCAUUUUGAUGUGAGAACUCGCCAGGAGGACCUCUACUCCAACCGUACUUAAGACUGCUUUAGGAGAGAGAACUCCUUGCUAAACAAUGAAAGUACUUGGACCCAUGCUUAUAAUAAGGCAAGGAGUUCUUUGAGCCAGGCCUGUUUUUAGAAUUGAUACAAUGGGAUGCUAGGUACCUAAAAGGGUCGGGCAAGUUUUCUCUUGAUGAGAUUAGUUGACUCAGCUGUGUUUUCUCUCUCAUUCAGAUUUACUGAGGAGAUUGGUCAACACAGCAGCAUUUUUUCUAAUUCAGACUUACUGAGGAGAUUGGUCGACUUAGCAGGAAUUUAGAUGGGCAGUCCUUUGGAAAGCGUCUACAGUGAUUGGUAGAUGUAGGGACUUAGGGGAGGUGACAUGGGAGAAAAACCCCUAUAUAAGAAAAAGCAGAAUCUCUUGAGGAUAUAUCCUUUUGGAAGAAUUCCUUUUGGAGGAUCUCUGAUGAGGACCUCUUGGGAAGAAUCUCUUGAGAUAGACUCUGGAGAAGGAAAGCUCUUGGAGGACAAUCUCUAAGGAGGUCUCACUGGAGCUCCUCUAAGGGGACUCUGUCCCUCUGGAGGCUCUGGAGAGAGGCCCUUUGGAACAGUCUCUGGCUGGAAGGCUCUCUGGUGAAGUCAGCUGAGAUGGAGCUGGCCUGGUGUCACUAGAAUCCUUGUUUAGGCAGACCUUGUGGUGAGUGUUAAAAGACUGACUGACUGAUUCUCUCUCUUGGCUUGAGGCCCUUCAUAAUUAUUCCUUUCCUACUCUUUCUCUCUUUCUCCAAUUCCUCAUUAUAUUAUUAAUUAAAAAUCUCUAUAAAACCCAGUUGACUUGGGUAUUUGAAUAAUCGGGAAUAUUACCCUGGCAACCACCUUAUAUUUGAUUUAAAACCAAGACACUGUAGUGAAACAUAUUUUCUGCGGUCAAAUUUACUCACCCUCUCUUAUAUCUAUCACCAUUUAUAUCUUCCACUAUUUUAAUCACUACAGUUUAUGGGCUUCACUAUUUUAAAUCUCACACCUGCUAGGUGUGGCAAUCCAGUCAAAUUAUGCAGGCAUCAUACACAGUGCUCUGCCAUAGUACUGUGGUUCAUUUAUUAUAUAGGUUUUCAGGUACAUACUUCUUUGACACACAAUCAAUUUUCUACAUAUGUGACAUUCUACAUUCUGACUGAAUAUUAUCAUAUCACCUAAACAACACUCUUGUGAUGUUACUACAACAAAGAAUUCUGUGAUCUUUUACUACUUUCUACAAUACUCUGGGAUGUAUAGGAAUAACAUGAAUAAAGUUGUUUGUAGGUUAGUAUCCCUUGACCUACUGAGAGGAUUAUUGUGCUUUUGAUCAGCUUUCACUAUCAAUCACAAUUGCUUAGGAGAUGAAUAACAAAACAUUUUCCUAUCUAGGUGCAAAGUUAAAAGGUGACUUAAAGCAGACCAGAUUUGGGGUUUUUCUCAAUUUACAAGUUGUUUUUCUUGUGUUACUUUGAAGUGCCUAGCAAUGCUGCCUGGUUUCUGUUCAUCAAAAAAUUCAUUGGAGUGUGAUAACUGUAAGGAAAGAUUUAUUAUGGUUCUCAAGAAUUUGGCCAGUGUUUAUUGUAGUGCCUUGGAGUGUAUCUGUGCUUAAUAAAAGGAGGGCUUAUAGGCUUCAAUUCUGUAAUUGCAAUCUUUUGAGGAUAAUAAUCUAGGGGGAUUAAAGUGGGAGAUAUAUGUAUAAAUUUAGAUAUAUAUCUACAUAGAUAUAUAUCCUAUAAGUAUUUGCUCUCAUAUUAUUUCUCUUGCAUUGGGGAGAGAAUAAUAAUCAUAACAAAUCCAUUAGUAGGGAAAAUUGGAGAGAGAGAAGUCACAGAUGGGGGUUAGGGUGGGGCUUUUUGGUCUGGGGGCGCUGAUUUGCAGCUUCCAACUUCCCACUGUGACUGUGUCAACCAGUGGGGCAUCUGUUGGCUCCCUGCAAUAUUCUUAACAAGCCUAACAGCCCUAAGAGCUUCUCUGGCAAAAUGAAGUCCAGUUCAGCACCCUGGCAGGAGGCUUCCUCAGGUCUUGAUUUCCACAUGGAGUCUUCAGCCAGAAGUCCAUCAGUGCAGUCUCCUCCAAAGCCAAGGUAGGAAUCUCAGCACUCACCAGUAUAUUAGUGGGGGAACUGAGAAGGAAUCAGAGUUGCCAGAUACUUGGGGAAUAAAUAUAAGGUAGCACCACUUCUUCCUCCCCUCCCCCCAAGCUGAGCUGUUAACAAUGAAGUCAGGUCUGACUAAAGCUGAAAGAGUAAGUGAAAAUCCCCCUCAGCCUCCUUCUUCUUUAGAUGAUGUACUUUGUAAUUCCUCUCCUAACACAUUGAAUAUGAUUGAACCUUUAGUAAAAAACAAAAUAUCUAUUUAUUUGGGUAAAAGGGUUGAAUUAUAAUAAGGAUAGAGGGAAACAGGAAAUCCCUAGCUAUUUCCCUUCUAUAGAUGAUUUCAGGGAUUUGAAUCAGGGAGUCUUCUUUAGAAUAGGCUUGGAUUUUUCCCUAAGAGAAAAGUCUCUAGGCUAAAGGUAUAUCACUGAUGAAAAACCGGAUCUUCUGUAUAUAUGUAGUCUUCACAGUAAGUUAGUUCCCUCUCCCUUCAGACCAUGGAGAAAAGAAACUUUAGUUUCCCAAAUGCAACUCCCUUUAGCUUGGCUGGAAAGUUCCAUCCCAUCCCCAGAUGGCAGCUGGGUUCCAUCUCAUCUCUUCCUGAGACAGCUCUUCAAAUCCAGUCUUUUCCAUUCCUUUUGGCAUUUCCCUCUUACACACCAGCAAGCUGAUGCAGGAUACAGGGAAAGAGUCUCCUCCAAAAUCAAGGAAACAAAGAGUCCUCCUCCAGCCUGACUCACCAAUACAGAGUGAAUGAUUGAAUCUUUGGGCUGUUCUUUUUAAAGCAGUUUUCUCAAUGUCACUUCCUGUUGCUCCCCCAUUUUAUGGGAACCAGGAACCGAUCUCAGCCUCCCAAUUUGCCUAGCACUUGGGGGAGGGGCAGUGGUCUUUGGAGGUGUCACUCUAGUAAGUGACUUGUGAAUUCAACCAUGUAUCCUUAGUUGAUGUUGGUCAACACCCUCCUCAGGGGGGGGAAUUGUAUAAUUUUUGUAAAAUUCUAGAUUCAAAAAUUUUUGAGAGAAAUUUCAGGAAAAGAAGCUUUCUAACUCCCUGAAUCAAGAAAGUGAACUGUUUAGAGAAUGUGCCAUAAAGAAGCCUAUACUGCAUCAAAAGAUCCAGAAUGAACUGUGGGAUGUAAUGAACUGAACUGAAGGGGGUUGAACAUAAUGUUUAUUCUGAAUGUAAACUCUUAUGCCAAAGGGGGCUGACCCCUAACUGGCUUUUUGUCAAUGUGCCUAGGGAACAUUGGUUUUGCUCUCUCUCUUCUAUUUCCCUCUUAUCUCCAACUAUUGUAGUUUCCUCCUAGAAAGUACAAUACUGUAUGUACCUUUAGCUAGAAUAUCUUUAGAGGUAUAAGCUAGUUAUGUUAAAUGAUUCAUUGGGGAUCCCAAAUCUCACUUCGUCUAUUUUAAUGAAAUCAAUCUGCAACCUUUAACAAUCAAUCAAUAAGUUAAAGCACCCCUACUUAACCAUUAAAGUAUGAGAGUUCACAAGUCACUUACUAGAGUGACACCUCCAAAGGCCACUGCCCCCCCCCCCCAAAGUGCUAGGCAAAUUGGGAGGCUGUGAUUGGUUCCCGUAAGGUGGGGGAGUGACAGGAAGUGAUGUUGAGAAAAUUGCUUUAAAAAAGAACAGUCUAAGGAUUCAGUCAUUCAUUCACUCUGCAUUGGUGAGCCAGGCUGGAUGAUCACUCCUUGCUUCCUUGGCUUUGGAGGAGACUCUUUCCCUGGAUCCUGCAUCAGCUUGCUGGUAAGUGGCUGAGAUUCCUGCUUUGGCUUUGGAGGAAGCUGCACUGAUGGACUUCUGGCUGAAGACUCCAUGUGGAGAUCAAGACUUGAGGAAGCUUCCUGCCAGGGUGCUGAACUGGACUUCCCUUUGCUGAAGAAGCUCUUAGAGCUGGUAGGCUUGUUAAGAAUCUGUCUCUUUAUCUACAUUUUCCACUUUCACUCUUUCCACCUCUUUGUAAAUAAAAGGUACUAAAAGUCAUUUUGACUUAAGCCGUGAUAUUUUAAUAUUGUCAACCACAUAAUUACUUUAUAACUCUCUUAUUGAGUCAAAAACCUCAAUUUAUAUUUCUUACAAUAGCAAAAGAAGAAUAAAGUUAGAAAAUGAAAGCAUAAUUGUUCCCUUCAUUAUGAUCUUUUGAUUAUUAGUUACCUUGAUAACCACACUCCUAAGUCACUAUAGUUCUUUCAGAUUUAAAACAGGCUUUUUAGUGGUUUUUUAAAUCCUUUUAAAAAACAUUUAGGAAGGGAAAGGCUUCUUUAAGAGAGAAACAAUUCCUAACAAGUCUAAAUAUAACUGCACAAAAGAUUGGAACUGGAGCUAGAAAUAUCACUGAACUGGAAGUCAAGAGGCUUUGGAUCUACUUUUGAUCUUGCGUAAGGCACAUCUACCAUUUGCUUGCAUAUAAAAUGAAGGACUAAACUAGAUGGUUUUUAAGGUCCCUUCCUUCAACAUUGAAUUCUAUCAACACAGAACAAUUUUAAAACUUUUGCAACCAAUUUUCUCACAGCAGCUAUUGAAAACAGGUUAUGUCCUCACUUAAGUCCUCAAAAUUAUGUAUUUAUUUACCUUGAAUGAAUACUAAGUUUCAAGGUAGAUAUUUUUAAAUUUACUUUUAAUUGUCCUACAAACUGGUCUAAUAGGACCUGGAAAACAAUAAUGUUCACUUUGUGCACUCAAUAAAUAUGGUAAAAUCUAUUUUUAAUUCUGAUAUUUGGUUCGUUUGGGGAGCUGUUUCAGCAGGUGUUUAUACCAAAAUUUCAGCGAUCAAAUUUGACUCUUUACUGAAUAUGGAUAAUAAAUCAAUAAGCAAUCAUGUGCCAGGCUAUAUGCUAAGCAUUGGGGAUAUUAAUGAAAGCCAAAAGUCCUUUCCUUCAAACAAAAGCUAAAAAUCAAAGGAGGGAAAAGGGGCUAGGAAAGAUACCUGAGGGAAACCUGAUUAAGGAGGAACUAACCCAUCAGAGGAAGGGACUGUAGGGGCAGAGAAGUGGCAUUUCAUCUAAGAAGGCUGAUCUUUGGAUAUUCUUAAAAUGCUUUCUAACUUAAGAUCAGUCAAGGUCACAGUCACCUCCUGUGAUCUCUCCAUUGCCUCAAUCUUGGGAAUAGAGGUUGGGGCAGAGAGAAACAGUGACUAGAGAAGACAGUGGCAUCUCUGAUAUAACUAACUCAUUGGCUCUCAGAGGAUGACAUUAACAGUGGCCACCAUUCCACUACAGGAAGAAGGGGACAGUAAUAUAAUUUAUGUCAUAACAAAAUAAAAUCAUAUAUUAUAAAUGUAUUAUAAUAAGAGUCUGCUGAAUCAUUAAACUGAAUUAAAUUCAACAAUCCAAUGUACAUGGAAAAUGAUUAGAAUAAAAUCAGAUCACUGACUUCUAUUGCUACACAAUUCAAAAGAAAGCAGAAAUCUAGGAAUCCUUUCAUUGGAAAUGUAAUAUAACCAUGCUUGCUCAGACCAAACAGAACUGAAUAUGAUCUACAAAUAUAAAUUGAAGAUAUUCUAUAAUAUUAUACUACUACUCAAUUAUGUAUAAUGCUUUAAGAUUUAAACAUUUUAACAGCUUAAUGCCCAUUUUACAGAUUCAACAUUUAAUAAGUUUCCACUAUGGUGAAACAUGUAUUGGUUAUGUGACUCUUGGACUUAACUUUAUUAGUGCUUAGGCAACUGUAAAAUUAUUGAAUCAUUACUGAUCUGCUUUGGUAGAUGGAGGGGUUUUGUUUGUUUACUUGCUUUUAUUGGAUAUCAGUGAAACUACAGAACAGUACCACUACCUCUCCCCCCUCCCCAAUAUGGUGAGGAAAUUAAGGCUCAAAGAAAAUAGGUGACUUACCUGGCAACAGUCACAUAUCUAUUGUCAGAGAUGAAAAUCAAACCUAAAUCUUGACUCAAAGUUCAGCAUUUACUUGCUAAAUUACUUGCAAAGGAAAGACUUCUAAUAAUCCCUCUUUCUCAUGAAUUCCAAAUUAUAGUGUUUAGAAGAACUGAGUAUUUUAUAUUAUGCUUUGAUUUUAUUUUGCAAUUAUCCUUUAUAGACUUAGUAAAGACAACCCUGGUACAAGUGAUUUCCUGGUCAAAAUUAAAAGGAUAAGUCUUAAAGAAGUUGCUAGCUGAUACUUGCAUGUUUAGAGGCUAAAAUGAAAGCAAAAUAUGAACAGUUGCUUGCUGGAGCAGCUUAAAAAAGUCUGCUUUUUCUGCUUUCACCAAAGGCAACUGAUGAAAGCAAUAAAGAUCUCCAAGUUUUCAUUCAUAUUUCUAUAUUUUAAAGGAUUUGUUAUUUCACUGAUGUGGGUAUUUAGCUAAUGUUGCAUUUUGUAGUCUUCUCAUAUAAAACCCUUACUUCCUUAGUUAGAAUUGAUACUAAGUAUUUAUUCCAAGGCAGAAGAGAGGUUAAGAGAUUAGACAGUUGGGAGAAAAUGACUUGCCUACAGUCAUAUAGCUAGGAAGUGUCUGAGGCCAAAUGUGAACCCAGUAUUUCCUAUCCCUAGACCUGGCUCUCUAUCUACUGCAGCUUUCCCAUCAAUAAAUUAAGUAGUAAGAGCUACUCCAAUGUGUGGGAAUCUUCAGAAAAUACUUUAUAUAUAAGAAGGUAUCCACAGUUUGCCAUCAGGUUUUUUUUUUUCCUUUCAUGGAAAAAGGCUUUAAAGCAUCUGAUAUGCAAGUAAAUUCAGAUGGGUAAAAGAACCAGACAAAGAAGGGUAUAGUGUGUUAUGUGAAAUUUAAUUCAUACUCACCAUCCACAGUUCUGCAUCUGGGUCAUUUAUCUGUAAUAACAAAACAGGAAUUGAAACUUAGAAGAGCACACAGAGAAAAGAUCGUCAAAUUCCACUCCAUCCCAAAUUUAUAAAAUCUACCCUGAUGGUUAAAUGAGCUAUUUUAUUAAAGGAAAUUUUCAUACAAGCUAAAAUGACGGGGUGGCUUUUACUAUUUACAAAAAAUAUCCUGGGUCUCUAAAGGUCAGGCUUAGAAUGGAUAAGGGAUAAGAAAAAAGGUUUGAAGGUGACCAUAGAGAAGUGUUGAGAAAAUAAUAAGAAGCUAUUAGGUAAAAGGUAUCAAGGGGGACAUGAUGAGAUUUAAAGCUAAAAAAGACUGUAGGGAUCAUCUACCUAGUACAACCUCUCACUUUACAGGUGAGGAAUCUAGGUGGAGGCUGUUUCAAUUGUAUUUAUGAAUUUUAACCAGAUCUUUAAUUCCCAAAAUGGGGCUCUUACCACAGCCUCCAUCUGUAGGUCCUACAGGCAUUUGGCAAGCACUUUCUACCAUGUUUUCAGAAGCUGUUGCUUGAUGUUCACAGGAAGUAUGAAGCAGUUAAAUGAAAAAUUACUACAAAUAAAUAUCAGGACUCAACUCUGACAGCUGAAUUUAUUUGGGCUCCUCCCAUUCAAAAACCACAGCCAUCUCAAGAUGCCUACAGAUCAUGGGAACAUAGAUUUUUGGAAUGAAAAGGACCUUGCAGAUUAUUUAGUCAACUUUCUCAUUUUGCAAUUGAGGAAACAGAUCCAGAAAGAUUAAAUCGCCUGCCCAAGGUGACAGUAGAAAUUCAGGUGAUAAAGUGACCUGGAGGUGUUAGAUGGUAAAGUGGCCUAGAGUUGGGAAGACCCAAGAUCAAAUCUAACCACAGCUCCUUACUAGCUGUGUGACCCUGCUCAAGCCAUUUUACCCUGUUUGCCUCAGUUUCCUCAUUUGUAAGGAAGGAGAAGAAAAUGGCAAACCACUUCAAUUUCCAAGAAAACCUCAAAUGGGGUCAUAAAGUGUCAGGUAUAUUCAUGAAUAGUGAUGUACAGGGGGAAAACCAUUAAUUUGGAAGUCAUAACCUGUAGCAUACCAGGCAUAUUAGCAUCUUGGAAGAAUGAUUGAUAUAUGGAUAUUGUAUCUUAUGUAUUCAUAUGCCAGACUCAUGGUCAUGUUACUUAUUGAUUAUUGUAUUGCUGAAUCUUCAAUCCAAAGGACAAAAGUAUUCCUGAGUAGGACAUUAUCAGCCACAGAGUCCUAGCUCAAGCCUUGUUAGAACACAUUCUUUUCCAAGUUGCAUGUUGGACUUUGAUUUCCUGAUCAAUCCAACCAAUGUUAAAGCCUAUGCCAUGCCACAUGUUCAUUAGUUACCUCCCACUCCUCAUUCCUAAAUUCUCCAAUAAAAGUUGGAGGGCACAUAUGGAGCCUUCUCUCACUUCCGUCUGGGGAGCACAGCGACAUGUAGGCCAUAUUUUUAACUCGUUCUCUGAGUCUUUAUUCCUUUGUUUCUCCCUCUGUCUCUAUUAUCUCUUCAUCCAUUUUCCUCCAGUCUCCAUUCUCCUUCUCUGGUCACCACCCAUGAGUAAAUUAUAUAGGAACUGCAGGGAGUUCCUACAUAACCAGUUUUGCUACUUAUUCUGGCAUUAAAUUUUCUCCCUGUAAGAUUUCUUCCUAACAGUAAUAAAUAGUAUUUAUACAGAUCUUUAAGGUUUGCAAGGCACUUUAAAAACAUCUCAUUGAUCCUGGCAACAAUUCUAAGAGGUAGGUGCUAUUACUACCCCCUUUUUAUAGAUGAGUUAACUGAGGCAUACAGCAGCUCAAUGAUUUGUCCAGGAUCACACACAGCUAGUAUCUGAGAUUGUAUUUGAACUUGGGUCUUUUGGACUUUGGUUCCAGCUCUCUCUAUUCACUGGGCCACCCUAGCUGCGUCUCCUCCUGAACCCUGGGUGAUGAAAUGCAACAACCUUGCCUCCAACUUGUUUUCCCUUCUGUUUCUUAGGAAUCCUCUCCUCUCCCUCUUUCUUCUAGUCCCCUCCCCCCACUUCCAGCUCUCUCCCACCAAUCACAGACACAGACCCACUGCAGGCUGACACCAGAACCUGCGCCUGCAUCUGGAAUUAGGCUUUUGGGGCUGAGCCUGAGCUGACCUGUACAUAGGCAGCCAGCGAGAAGAAGGUGGCCAUAACGAAAUUGCAGCUUCUCCAUAGGGUCUCAGCUGGGAACCCCUCCAGCGCCAUCUCACCCACUUCAGAAGGGAGGCCUAGAUAGUAAGAGGGCUCUAGGAGCGCAGUUUGUGACGCGGAGAGGAGCAGCGUUCUGACCACGCCCACGUCACACAUCACUCCCACCCCAGGGCUUGGUGACGUUUGACCCGAAGGACCCGGAAAAGCGUGGAGGCAACCCAUAGAGUUCCUGAGUAAGACUUAACAGACUAUGUGUGGAAAGGCAAGAUGAUACAGAGCAUAGAAUACAAAUUAAGAAAAGAUCUUCAAGAAAGAAGCUUGAAAUUUUUAUAUCCAGAGAAUGAACUGUUGCAGAAAGAUGCCGAAACCCUACACUUCAUCAAGAAGAUCAAGAAUGAACUUUGGAUGUGAUUGAUUGGACUGAACUUUUGAUUGAACAUUUAUUGUAACUGUACACAUUUAUGCCAAAAGGGACUGCCCCUAAUUGUCUUUCUGUCAAUGCGCCUAGCAAAACAUUGGUUUUGCUUUCUUUUCUUUUCUAUUUCCUCUCUCACUAUUCUAAUUUCUCUUAGAAAAUUGAAUAUUGUGUAUAUCUUUAGUUAGAAGUGAAUUUAGAACUACAAAAUGAUUAUGUUAAAUGAUCAAUGGGGAGACUAGUCUCCCAAUGAUCAUCAGGGGGGAUUGUAAACCUUAAAAUUCCUUAGACUUAUAAAUGUUGGAAAUUUCACCAUUGGGAAAUUUUAUACUUGGAAAAUUUCUUACUGAUAGUCUAUUGGAAUGUAAACCCCAUUGGCAUGGGAGGUUCCUCCUCCUCCCUUCUUAAGAUUACUUUAGGACAGAAACCUUUUGCUGAACAAUGGAAAGGACUUUGACCUAUGCUUAAGCAUAGAACAGGAAUUUCUUUGAGUCAUGAUUGAUUUUAGAAUUGAUACAAUGGAGAUACUUGGAAUCAAUCUCCACCCUACUCAGUCCUAACAGGAUUGAGGAAGGGCUGCAGCAUAGAUCAAAAUUUAAUUAUUCCAAUCUCUACCCUACUCAGGUUAACAGGAUUUAGGAAGGGCUGUAGCAAAGGAUCAAAGAUAUAAUUAUUUGAAAAUAUGACCUUCAACAGACAUGUGCAAAGCCAGAGACCUCUGGGCGGUCCUGGGUUAAGCUAGAGCCUCCAUUGGCACAGGGAAAUUGAUGGACAGUGAUUGGUAGAUAUGAGAACUGAGGGGAGGGAACUUGGAUGGUUUCCUUAAAGAGAGAGGGGUCUGAAGACUCAGAGUGGUGGUGGUGGUUGAGGAGUUUGUCUGAGUGGUUGGAGUGUGCUCUGAGAAGCUUGCUCUGAAGGAAGCUGAAGGUGGGGGCCUCUGAGACUGUUUCUCCAUUUUGGUCACGUGAGUAAUAGGGACUGAUCUCCUUUCUUUGCCCCAGCUAUCUAAGGGCUUGGGCCUUUUGGCCCAGCCUAAACAGAAGGGGUAUUUAAGCCCUAUUCCCUUCUCUCCCUUUUCUCUCUCUCUAUCUCUAAUUCCUUUCUUCCUCCUGUUGUAAUUAAACUCCAUAAAAGGUUGACUG